GGCCUGCAGCUUGCUGCGGGUACUCGAGUGGCGAACGGGUGAGUAACACGUGGGUGAUCUGCCUUGCACUUCGGGAUAAGCUUGGGAAACUGGGUCUAAUACCGGAUAGGACAGCUGUUUAGUGUCAGUUGUGGAAAGUUUUUUCGGUGCAAGAUGAGCUCGCGGCCUAUCAGCUUGUUGGUGGGGUAAUGGCCUACCAAGGCGUCGACGGGUAGCCGGCCUGAGAGGGUGUACGGCCACAUUGGGACUGAGAUACGGCCCAGACUCCUACGGGAGGCAGCAGUGGGGAACAUUGCACAAUGGGCGGAAGCCUGAUGCAGCGACGCCGCGUGGGGGAUGAAGGCCUUCGGGUUGUAAACUCCUUUCGACAGGGACGAAGCGUAAGUGACGGUACCUGUAUAAGAAGCACCGGCUAACUACGUGCCAGCAGCCGCGGUAAUACGUAGGGUGCGAGCGUUGUCCGGAAUUACUGGGCGUAAAGAGCUCGUAGGUGGUUUGUCGCGUCGUCUGUGAAAUUCCGGGGCUUAACUCCGGGCGUGCAGGCGAUACGGGCUGACUUGAGUGCUGUAGGGGAGACUGGAAUUCCUGGUGUAGCGGUGAAAUGCGCAGAUAUCAGGAGGAACACCGAUGGCGAAGGCAGGUCUCUGGGCAGUAACUGACGCUGAGGAGCGAAAGCAUGGGUAGCGAACAGGAUUAGAUACCCUGGUAGUCCAUGCCGUAAACGGUGGGCGCUAGGUGUAUGGGGGCAUUCCUACAGUCUUCUGUAGCUCAGUACGCUACACGCAU
Molecule: ribosomal RNA, 786 nt
Filed under: uncultured Actinomycetes bacterium
Lineage: Bacteria; Bacillati; Actinomycetota; Actinomycetes
Description: bacterial SSU rRNA
Rfam family: Bacterial small subunit ribosomal RNA
Source: RNAcentral